GAUUAAGUUAUUAAGGGCGCACGGUGGAUGCCUUGGCACUAGAAGCCGAUGAAGGACGUUACUAACGACGAUAUGCUUUGGGGAGCUGUAAGUAAGCUUUGAUCCAGAGAUUUCCGAAUGGGGAAACCCAGCAUGAGUUAUGUCAUGUUAUCGAUAUGUGAAUACAUAGCAUAUCAGAAGGCACACCCGGAGAACUGAAACAUCUUAGUACCCGGAGGAAGAGAAAGAAAAUUCGAUUCCCUUAGUAGCGGCGAGCGAAACGGGAAGAGCCCAAACCAACAAGCUUGCUUGUUGGGGUUGUAGGACACUCUAUACGGAGUUACAAAGGACGACAUUAGACGAAUCAUCUGGAAAGAUGAAUCAAAGAAGGUAAUAAUCCUGUAGUCGAAAAUGUUGUCUCUCUUGAGUGGAUCCUGAGUACGACGGAGCACGUGAAAUUCCGUCGGAAUCUGGGAGGACCAUCUCCUAAGGCUAAAUACUCUCUAGUGACCGAUAGUGAACCAGUACCGUGAGGGAAAGGUGAAAAGCACCCCGGAAGGGGAGUGAAAUAGAACCUGAAACCGUGUGCUUACAAGUAGUCAGAGCCCGUUAAUGGGUGAUGGCGUGCCUUUUGUAGAAUGAACCGGCGAGUUACGAUUUGAUGCAAGGUUAAGCAGUAAAUGUGGAGCCGUAGCGAAAGCGAGUCUGAAUAGGGCGUUUAGUAUUUGGUCGUAGACCCGAAACCAGGUGAUCUACCCUUGGUCAGGUUGAAGUUCAGGUAACACUGAAUGGAGGACCGAACCGACUUACGUUGAAAAGUGAGCGGAUGAACUGAGGGUAGCGGAGAAAUUCCAAUCGAACCUGGAGAUAGCUGGUUCUCUCCGAAAUAGCUUUAGGGCUAGCCUCAAGUGAUGAUUAUUGGAGGUAGAGCACUGUUUGGACGAGGGGCCCCUCUCGGGUUACCGAAUUCAGACAAACUCCGAAUGCCAAUUAAUUUAACUUGGGAGUCAGAACAUGGGUGAUAAGGUCCGUGUUCGAAAGGGAAACAGCCCAGACCACCAGCUAAGGUCCCAAAAUAUAUGUUAAGUGGAAAAGGAUGUGGCGUUGCCCAGACAACUAGGAUGUUGGCUUAGAAGCAGCCAUCAUUUAAAGAGUGCGUAAUAGCUCACUAGUC
This 1153-nucleotide ribosomal RNA is filed under the name Staphylococcus aureus. RNAcentral's name for it is "partial 23S ribosomal RNA". It matches the Rfam family "Bacterial large subunit ribosomal RNA", at positions 1 to 1150 of the family's 2925-position model. Lineage: Bacteria; Bacillati; Bacillota; Bacilli; Caryophanales; Staphylococcaceae. The record is from RNAcentral.